This 644-nucleotide ribosomal RNA is filed under the name Salmonella enterica subsp. enterica serovar Enteritidis. RNAcentral's name for it is "partial 23S ribosomal RNA". It matches the Rfam family "Bacterial large subunit ribosomal RNA", at positions 1 to 600 of the family's 2925-position model. The record is from RNAcentral. Lineage: Bacteria; Pseudomonadati; Pseudomonadota; Gammaproteobacteria; Enterobacterales; Enterobacteriaceae.
GGGUUGUGAGGUUAAGCGACUAAGCGUACACGGUGGAUGCCCUGGCAGUCAGAGGCGAUGAAGGGCGUGCUAAUCUGCGAUAAGCGCCGGUAAGGUGAUAUGAACCGUUAUAACCGGCGAUACCCGAAUGGGGAAACCCAGUGUGACUCGUCACACUAUCAUUAACUGAAUCCAUAGGUUAAUGAGGCGAACCGGGGGAACUGAAACAUCUAAGUACCCCGAGGAAAAGAAAUCAACCGAGAUUCCCCCAGUAGCGGCGAGCGAACGGGGAGGAGCCCAGAGCCUGAAUCAGCAUGUGUGUUAGUGGAAGCGUCUGGAAAGGCGCGCGAUACAGGGUGACAGCCCCGUACACAAAAGCGCAUGUGCUGUGAGCUCGAUGAGUAGGGCGGGACACGUGGUAUCCUGUCUGAAUAUGGGGGGACCAUCCUCCAAGGCUAAAUACUCCUGACUGACCGAUAGUGAACCAGUACCGUGAGGGAAAGGCGAAAAGAACCCCGGCGAGGGGAGUGAAAAAGAACCUGAAACCGUGUACGUACAAGCAGUGGGAGCCCCACCACCAAAGCAUUUGCUGUACCGCGUUGACGGAGCGAAGCGACGUCAAACCGAUAAAACAGCAGUGUAAAGUGAGCCGCAGGGCGCUUUGC